RNAcentral lists this ribosomal RNA (567 nucleotides) under Dendropsophus sanborni (Sanborn's treefrog). Its description in RNAcentral is "partial large subunit ribosomal RNA". It matches the Rfam family "Bacterial large subunit ribosomal RNA", at positions 1831 to 2597 of the family's 2925-position model. Lineage: Eukaryota; Metazoa; Chordata; Amphibia; Anura; Hylidae. The record is from RNAcentral.
CGCCUCUCGAUAUACAUGAGAGGUCCAGCCUGCCCAGUGACUAAGUUCAACGGCCGCGGUAUCCUAACCGUGCGAAGGUAGCGUAAUCACUUGUUUUUUAAAUGAAGACUAGUAUGAACGGCACCACGAGGGUUAUACUGUCUCCUUUUUUUAAUCAAUGAAACUGAUCUCCCCGUGAAGAAGCGGGGAUGUUUAUAUAAGACGAGAAGACCCUAUGGAGCUUUAAACAAUUAUAGCACUGGCCCACACCUCUUAUUCUUCUGAGACAUAAUUAUUAUUUAAGCCAACAUGACUAUUAGUUUUAGGUUGGGGUGACCGCGGAGCAAAAACCAACCUCCACGUUGAACGGAGCUACUCCUGAGCCAAAAGCUACAACUUUAAGCACCAAUAAACUGACAUCAAUUGACCCAACAUGUUGAUCAACGAACCAAGUUACCCUAGGGAUAACAGCGCAAUCCAUUUCAAGAGCUCCUAUCGACAAAUGGGUUUACGACCUCGAUGUUGGAUCAGGGUAUCCCAGUGGUGCAGCCGCUACUAAAGGUUCGUUUGUUCAACGAUUAAAACCCU